Long non-coding RNA from Photinus pyralis (common eastern firefly), 383 nucleotides. RefSeq lists it as uncharacterized. The record is from RefSeq and is a predicted model, not a curated record. The transcript is spliced from 3 exons. NCBI's taxonomy places the organism in Eukaryota, Metazoa, Arthropoda, Insecta, Coleoptera, Lampyridae.
UCUUACCAAAAUUACCUUCGCUUAAACAAUAAACAGCUGGGAUAUUUGCUAGCAUUAGUGAAAGAUGACAUAACCAAACAAGAUACCCACUUACGAGAGUGUAUCCCCGCUAGAAGCAAAUUACAAGUUACUCUAAGAUUUUUGGCAACCGGAGAGACGUUUCGAUCCCUUAUGUACGCAACAAGGAUUCACGAAACUACAAUUAGUCGUUUCAUACCCGAGGUGUGCAACGCAAUCGUGUUAAAAUUGAAACCAAAUUAUUUGAAGACACCAAACACGCCAGAAGAGUGGAAUAAAAUUGCGGAUGAUUUUAAUAAUUUAUGGCAGUUUCCACACUGCAUUGGAGCACUCGAUGGACGCCAUAUAACAUUCAGAGCCCCAAU